RNAcentral lists this ribosomal RNA (671 nucleotides) under uncultured ciliate. RNAcentral's name for it is "SSU rRNA". It matches the Rfam family "Eukaryotic small subunit ribosomal RNA", at positions 322 to 1030 of the family's 1831-position model. Lineage: Eukaryota; Ciliophora. The record is from RNAcentral.
UCUCGAUGGUAGUGUAUUGGACUACCAUGGCGUUGACGGGUAACGGAGAAUUAGGGUUCGAUUCCGGAGAGGGAGCCUGAGAAACGGCUACCACAUCUAAGGAUGGCAGCAGGCGCGCAAAUUACCCAAUCCUAACUCAGGGAGGUAGUGACAAGAAAUAACAACUUCGGGCUUGCCCGAGAUUGGAAUGAGUACRACGUACAAUCUUUAACGAGUACCAACUGGAGGGCAAGUCUGGUGCCAGCAGCCGCGGUAAUUCCAGCUCCAGUAGCGUAUACUAAAGUUGUUGCAGUUAAAAAGCUCGUAGUUGAAUUUCUGUGUAGUGUACUUGCGGUCUCCGGACCAAUAUACACUGCGCAUCCAUCUGAACAGCACUUCUUGUCAUUCAUUUGUCGGUUGUGUGAUCAGAUACUUUACCUUGAGAAAAAUAGAGUGUUCCAAGCAGGCGUCCGCCUGAAUAAUAAAGCAUGGAAUAAUACAAUAGGACUGGGUUCUAUUGGUGCAUAGAACUUAGUAAUGAUUAAUAGGGACAGUUGGGGGCAUUUGUAUUUAAUYGUCAGAGGUGAAAUUCUUUGAUUUAUUAAAGACAAACCUAUGCGAAAGCAUUUGCCAAGGAUGUUUUCAUUAAUCAAGAACGAAAGUUAAGGGAUCAAAGACGAUYAGAUACCGUC